RNAcentral lists this ribosomal RNA (253 nucleotides) under uncultured bacterium. Its description in RNAcentral is "partial 16S ribosomal RNA". It matches the Rfam family "Bacterial small subunit ribosomal RNA", at positions 524 to 776 of the family's 1533-position model. The record is from RNAcentral.
UACGAAGGGGGCUCGCGUUGCUCGGAAUUACUGGGCGUAAAGGGCGCGUAGGCGGCUGACUAAGUCGGGGGUGAAAGCCCGGGGCUCAACCUCGGAACUGCCUUCGAUACUGGUCAUCUUGAGUACGGGAGAGGUGUGUGGAACUCCGAGUGUAGAGGUGAAAUUCGUAGAUAUUCGGAAGAACACCAGUGGCGAAGGCGACACACUGGCCCGUUACUGACGCUGAGGCGCGAAAGCGUGGGGAGCAAACAGG